Molecule: ribosomal RNA, 523 nt
Filed under: uncultured Limnohabitans sp.
Lineage: Bacteria; Pseudomonadati; Pseudomonadota; Betaproteobacteria; Burkholderiales; Comamonadaceae
Description: bacterial SSU rRNA
Rfam family: Bacterial small subunit ribosomal RNA
Source: RNAcentral
UGGGUUUGAUCCUGGCUCAGAUUGAACGCUGGCGGAAUGCUUUACACAUGCAAGUCGAACGGCAGCACGGACUUCGGUCUGGUGGCGAGUGGCGAACGGGUGAGUAAUGUAUCGGAACGUGCCCAGUCGUGGGGGAUAACGUAGUGAAAAUUACGCUAAUACCGCAUACGAUCUAUGGAUGAAAGCGGGGGAUCGCAAGACCUCGCGCGAUUGGAGCGGCCGAUAUCAGAUUAGGUAGUUGGUGGGGUAAAGGCCCACCAAGCCAACGAUCUGUAGCUGGUCUGAGAGGACGACCAGCCACACUGGAACUGAGACACGGUCCAGACUCCUACGGGAGGCAGCAGUGGGGAAUUUUGGACAAUGGGCGAAAGCCUGAUCCAGCCAUUCCGCGUGCAGGAUGAAGGCCCUCGGGUUGUAACCUGCUUUUGUACAGAACGAAAAGGUUUCUACUAAUACUAGGAGCUCAUGACGGUACUGUAAGAAUAAGCACCGGCUAACUACGUGCCAGCCGCCGCGGUAAUUC